Patiria miniata (bat star) is the source of this 536-nucleotide long non-coding RNA. RefSeq lists it as uncharacterized. Lineage: Eukaryota; Metazoa; Echinodermata; Asteroidea; Valvatida; Asterinidae. The record is from RefSeq and is a predicted model, not a curated record. The transcript has 3 exons.
UGUGUCUCUAUACAAAACUCUGUGGCUAGUAUUGUUUUAAGAUAAAUCAUAUAUUGAAUGCUGUGGUCCUUAUGGCAUUCACCCAAAUUAUUAUUUUUUUUCAUUACUUGAAAGGUUGAGGCAAGGAAGAAGAAAUGCUGGUGCAAAGAGUGGCUGUUGGUCCACAGGCCAGAUAAUGGACUGACAUACGUCAGGUGCAAGCAAAGAAAAUGGCUACAGGUUGAAACUAGGAGCAAAAUCGCUGUAAGCAGCCAAGUUGAUCAGAAUAGCCGGAGGACCACCGACAAGAGACUGGAUGGCUGUUAGAAAGAAAUGGAAUGAUUUGAAGGUCCAGACUCAGGCUACAGGAUAGGAGGAUCCAUACCAGCAUAGGAAACAUUUGAACUAGUCAAAGAUGCCUUGGCACUGCAGACAAAGUAUGGAGUCGGAGGACAAGAGACGGAGACGGGUCUCUUUUGCAGUUGGUUGGUGACAAAGAAGUUGCAUGUAGGCCUAUUGACUUAUUGGACACCUUGUGCGUUACUUUAAUGUACAAG